AUAUUGGACAAUGGGGGCAACCCUGAUCCAGCCUUGCAGCGUGUGUGAAGAAGGCCAUCGUUUUGUAAAUCACUUUAUGUUGGGAGGAAGGGCGUUAAGUUAAUACUUUGCUGUCUUGACGUUACCGACAGAAUAAGCACCGGCUAACUUCGUGCCAUCAGCCGCGGUAAUACGAAGGGUGCAAGCGUUAAUCGGAAUUACUGGUCGUAAAUCGGGCGUAGGUGGUUUGUUAAGUUGGAAGUGAAAGCCCCGGGCUCAACCUGGGAACUGCUUUCAAAACUGGCAAGCUAGAGGAUGGCAGAGGGUGGUGGAAUUUCCUGUGUAGCGGUGAAAUGCGUAGAUAUAGGAAGGAACACCAGUGGCGAAGGCGACUACCUGGACUAAUACUGACACUGAGGUGCGAAAGCGUGGGGAGCAAAC
Molecule: ribosomal RNA, 420 nt
Filed under: uncultured bacterium
Lineage: Bacteria
Description: partial 16S ribosomal RNA
Rfam family: Bacterial small subunit ribosomal RNA
Source: RNAcentral